GACAGAAAGACCCUAUGAAGCUUUACUGUAACUUGGAAUUGGAUUUGGGCUUUUCUUGCGCAGUAUAGGUGGGAGGCAGUGAAAAUAAGUUUGAGGACUUAUUUGAGCCAACAAUGAGAUACCACUCUGGAAAAGCUAAAAUUCUAACUUUGAGCCGUUAGCCGGACGAAGAACAGUUUCAGGUGGGCAGUUUGACUGGGGCGGUCGCCUCCCAAAAAGUAACGGAGGCGUGCAAAGGUUCCCUCAGGCUGGUCGGAAAUCAGUCGUAGAGUGUAAAGGCAUAAGGGAGCUUGACUGCAAGACUUACAAGUCAAGCAGAGACGAAAGUCGGCCUUAGUGAUCCGACAGUGCCGAGUGGAAGGGCUGUCGCUCAACGGAUAAAAGUUACUCUAGGGAUAACAGGCUGA
Molecule: ribosomal RNA, 407 nt
Filed under: Akalaphycus setchelliae
Lineage: Eukaryota; Rhodophyta; Florideophyceae; Nemaliales; Liagoraceae
Description: bacterial LSU rRNA
Rfam family: Bacterial large subunit ribosomal RNA
Source: RNAcentral